UACGGAGGGUGCAAGCGUUAUCCGGAUUCACUGGGUUUAAAGGGUACGUAGGCUGGGCGCUGUGUCAGUGGUGAAAUCCCGCGGCUCAACCGUGGCACUGCCAUUGAAACUGGCGUCCUGGAGUUCGGUCGAGGUAGGCGGAAUGUAGCAUGUAGCGGUGAAAUGCAUAGAUAUGCUACGGAACACCGAUAGCGGAGGCAGCUUACCAGGCCGCGACUGACGCUGAGGUACGAAAGCGUGGGUAGCGAACAGG
This 253-nucleotide ribosomal RNA is filed under the name uncultured bacterium. RNAcentral describes it as "partial 16S ribosomal RNA". It matches the Rfam family "Bacterial small subunit ribosomal RNA", at positions 524 to 776 of the family's 1533-position model. The record is from RNAcentral.